Molecule: ribosomal RNA, 1488 nt
Filed under: Lactiplantibacillus plantarum
Lineage: Bacteria; Bacillati; Bacillota; Bacilli; Lactobacillales; Lactobacillaceae
Description: bacterial SSU rRNA
Rfam family: Bacterial small subunit ribosomal RNA
Source: RNAcentral
GACGAACGCUGGCGGCGUGCCUAAUACAUGCAAGUCGAACGAACUCUGGUAUUGAUUGGUGCUUGCAUCAUGAUUUACAUUUGAGUGAGUGGCGAACUGGUGAGUAACACGUGGGAAACCUGCCCAGAAGCGGGGGAUAACACCUGGAAACAGAUGCUAAUACCGCAUAACAACUUGGACCGCAUGGUCCGAGUUUGAAAGAUGGCUUCGGCUAUCACUUUUGGAUGGUCCCGCGGCGUAUUAGCUAGAUGGUGGGGUAACGGCUCACCAUGGCAAUGAUACGUAGCCGACCUGAGAGGGUAAUCGGCCACAUUGGGACUGAGACACGGCCCAAACUCCUACGGGAGGCAGCAGUAGGGAAUCUUCCACAAUGGACGAAAGUCUGAUGGAGCAACGCCGCGUGAGUGAAGAAGGGUUUCGGCUCGUAAAACUCUGUUGUUAAAGAAGAACAUAUCUGAGAGUAACUGUUCAGGUAUUGACGGUAUUUAACCAGAAAGCCACGGCUAACUACGUGCCAGCAGCCGCGGUAAUACGUAGGUGGCAAGCGUUGUCCGGAUUUAUUGGGCGUAAAGCGAGCGCAGGCGGUUUUUUAAGUCUGAUGUGAAAGCCUUCGGCUCAACCGAAGAAGUGCAUCGGAAACUGGGAAACUUGAGUGCAGAAGAGGACAGUGGAACUCCAUGUGUAGCGGUGAAAUGCGUAGAUAUAUGGAAGAACACCAGUGGCGAAGGCGGCUGUCUGGUCUGUAACUGACGCUGAGGCUCGAAAGUAUGGGUAGCAAACAGGAUUAGAUACCCUGGUAGUCCAUACCGUAAACGAUGAAUGCUAAGUGUUGGAGGGUUUCCGCCCUUCAGUGCUGCAGCUAACGCAUUAAGCAUUCCGCCUGGGGAGUACGGCCGCAAGGCUGAAACUCAAAGGAAUUGACGGGGGCCCGCACAAGCGGUGGAGCAUGUGGUUUAAUUCGAAGCUACGCGAAGAACCUUACCAGGUCUUGACAUACUAUGCAAAUCUAGAGAUUAGACGUUCCCUUCGGGGACAUGGAUACAGGUGGUGCAUGGUUGUCGUCAGCUCGUGUCGUGAGAUGUUGGGUUAAGUCCCGCAACGAGCGCAACCCUUAUUAUCAGUUGCCAGCAUUAAGUUGGGCACUCUGGUGAGACUGCCGGUGACAAACCGGAGGAAGGUGGGGAUGACGUCAAAUCAUCAUGCCCCUUAUGACCUGGGCUACACACGUGCUACAAUGGAUGGUACAACGAGUUGCGAACUCGCGAGAGUAAGCUAAUCUCUUAAAGCCAUUCUCAGUUCGGAUUGUAGGCUGCAACUCGCCUACAUGAAGUCGGAAUCGCUAGUAAUCGCGGAUCAGCAUGCCGCGGUGAAUACGUUCCCGGGCCUUGUACACACCGCCCGUCACACCAUGAGAGUUUGUAACACCCAAAGUCGGUGGGGUAACCUUUUAGGAACCAGCCGCCUAAGGUGGGACAGAUGAUUAGGGUG